This is a non-coding RNA of Vicia faba (fava bean), 231 nucleotides long. The record is from the annotation of a GenBank genome assembly. Lineage: Eukaryota; Viridiplantae; Streptophyta; Magnoliopsida; Fabales; Fabaceae.
AUGCUACCAAUCAAGUAUGAAAAUAAUAUAAUUCACCGUUCCAAUCCCUGUGUUACCAAUAUUUCAUCAUCAUCCUCCUCAAAAAUAAAAACAAUUUUUGUUUUGACAGAAUACAGCAAUAAAAUGCAUCUCAAAGAAAAUUGUAGCUAUUCACUCCAACAACUAGGUUGCUAUGUUGAGGUUGAAUCUGUAAACUUUAUAAAUAUUUUUUUUUUAAUUUUAUUUAAAUGA